This 464-nucleotide ribosomal RNA is filed under the name uncultured bacterium. RNAcentral's name for it is "partial 16S ribosomal RNA". It matches the Rfam family "Bacterial small subunit ribosomal RNA", at positions 339 to 795 of the family's 1533-position model. The record is from RNAcentral.
CUACGGGAGGCUGCAGUGGGGAAUUUUGGACAAUGGACGCAAGUCUGAUCCAGCCAUUCCGCGUGCAGGAUGAAGGCCCUCGGGUUGUAAACUGCUUUUGUACGGAACGAAAAGGUUUCUAUUAAUACUAGGAGCUCAUGACGGUACCGUAAGAAUAAGCACCGGCUAACUACGUGCCAGCAGCCGCGGUAAUACGUAGGGUGCAAGCGUUAAUCGGAAUUACUGGGCGUAAAGCGUGCGCAGGCGGUUAUAUAAGACAGAUGUGAAAUCCCUGGGCUCAACCUGGGAACUGCAUUUGUGACUGUAUAGCUAGAGUACGGUAGAGGGGGAUGGAAUUCCGCGUGUAGCAGUGAAAUGCGUAGAUAUGCGGAGGAACACCGAUGGCGAAGGCAAUCCCCUGGACCUGUACUGACGCUCAUGCACGAAAGCGUGGGGAGCAAACAGGAUUAGAUACCCUCGUAGUC